Molecule: ribosomal RNA, 248 nt
Filed under: uncultured Oscillospiraceae bacterium
Lineage: Bacteria; Bacillati; Bacillota; Clostridia; Eubacteriales; Oscillospiraceae
Description: partial 16S ribosomal RNA
Rfam family: Bacterial small subunit ribosomal RNA
Source: RNAcentral
UACGUAGGUGGCGAGCGUUGUCCGGAUUUACUGGGUGUAAAGGGCGUGUAGGCGGGACUGCAAGUCAGAUGUGAAAUACCGGGGCUUAACCCCGGGGCUGCAUUUGAAACUGCGGUUCUUGAGUGCGGGAGAGGAAAGCGGAAUUCCUAGUGUAGCGGUGAAAUGCGUAGAUAUUAGGAGGAACACCGGUGGCGAAGGCGGCUUUCUGGACCGUAACUGACGCUGAGGCGCGAAAGCGUGGGUAGCAA